This 575-nucleotide ribosomal RNA is filed under the name uncultured bacterium. RNAcentral describes it as "bacterial SSU rRNA". It matches the Rfam family "Bacterial small subunit ribosomal RNA", at positions 819 to 1394 of the family's 1533-position model. The record is from RNAcentral.
GCUGUCGGGGCGCUUAGCGUUUCGGUGGCGCAGCUAACGCGAUAAGUCAUCCGCCUGGGGAGUACGGCCGCAAGGUUAAAACUCAAAGAAAUUGACGGGGGCCUGCACAAGCGGCGGAGCAUGUGGUUUAAUUCGAAGCAACGCGCAGAACCUUACCAGCGUUUGACAUGGUAGGACGGUUUCUGGAGACAGAUUCCUUCCCUUACGGGACCUACACACAGGUGCUGCAUGGCUGUCGUCAGCUCGUGUCGUGAGAUGUUGGGUUAAGUCCCGCAACGAGCGCAACCCUCGUCUUUAGUUGCCAGCAUUUAGUUGGGCACUCUAAAGAAACUGCCGGUGAUAAGCCGGAGGAAGGUGGGGAUGACGUCAAGUCCUCAUGGCCCUUACGCGCUGGGCUACACACGUGCUACAAUGGCGGUGACAGAGGGCCGCAAACCCGCGAGGGUGAGCUAAUCUCCAAAAGCCGUCUCAGUUCGGAUUGUUCUCUGCAACUCGAGAGCAUGAAGGCGGAAUCGCUAGUAAUCGCGGAUCAGCACGCCGCGGUGAAUACGUUCCCAGGCCUUGUACACACCGCC